GACGAACGCUGGCGGCGUGCCUAAUACAUGCCAGUCGAACGCUUCUUUCCUCCCGAGUGCUUGCACUCAAUUGGAAAGAGGAGUGGCGGACGGGUGAGUAACACGUGGGUAACCUACCCAUCAGAGGGGGAUAACACUUGGAAACAGGUGCUAAUACCGCAUAACAGUUUAUGCCGCAUGGCAUAAGAGUGAAAGGCGCUUUCGGGUGUCGCUGAUGGAUGGACCCGCGGUGCAUUAGCUAGUUGGUGAGGUAACGGCUCACCAAGGCCACGAUGCAUAGCCGACCUGAGAGGGUGAUCGGCCACACUGGGACUGAGACACGGCCCAGACUCCUACGGGAGGCAGCAGUAGGGAAUCUUCGGCAAUGGACGAAAGUCUGACCGAGCAACGCCGCGUGAGUGAAGAAGGUUUUCGGAUCGUAAAACUCUGUUGUUAGAGAAGAACAAGGACGUUAGUAACUGAACGUCCCCUGACGGUAUCUAGCCAGAAAGCCACGGCUAACUACGUG
This 508-nucleotide ribosomal RNA is filed under the name uncultured bacterium. Its description in RNAcentral is "partial 16S ribosomal RNA". It matches the Rfam family "Bacterial small subunit ribosomal RNA", at positions 28 to 507 of the family's 1533-position model. The record is from RNAcentral.